This 519-nucleotide long non-coding RNA is filed under the name Strongylocentrotus purpuratus (purple sea urchin). RNAcentral describes it as "uncharacterized LOC115929371". Lineage: Eukaryota; Metazoa; Echinodermata; Echinoidea; Camarodonta; Strongylocentrotidae. The record is from RNAcentral.
GUUACUUCAGUGAAUGAGUGAAUGUAAACAAACGUGAUUACAAUAAAUCCACGUAGAAAUUUCAUAUUUUUUUAACCAUUACUACGUCUGUCAAUUAUAUUGCCUUGCAUGAUAUAAUGUUUUGAUGUGGUUUAAGGCUAAAUUGUAUCUCAAAUUAUUUUUCUACGAAUCAGAAAACACAACCUGCUAAAGGCAGCACCACGCAAGAAGAAGAGCAAGUCUUCGAAGUCCGAGAGUGUGUCUGCGAGAUCCAUUGAAACUAAUCAAGCUACAAUGUACAUGUAACGUACAACCACCAUUUGAUUAGAUGCCUGUGAACAGCAAGACCAACAUCUGUAUCCUUUGCAUUAGUAUUUGUUUCCAUUUUAUUAUGUAAUUCUUAUGUCUAAUCAUUAAGAUUCAUAGGCAAGUACAACAUGUAUGUGUACACAAUGAGUGCCUGCAUAUUGUGAAGAUAAAGGACCAUAAGACCAUUACUUAUGAUACAUGGUAAUGAUGGUAUACUUUGUAAAAUUAUUU